RNAcentral lists this transfer RNA (75 nucleotides) under Sphingomonadales bacterium. Its description in RNAcentral is "tRNA-Thr". It matches the Rfam family "tRNA". Rfam says of the family: Transfer RNA (tRNA) molecules are approximately 80 nucleotides in length. Their secondary structure includes four short double-helical elements and three loops (D, anti-codon, and T loops). The record is from RNAcentral. Lineage: Bacteria; Pseudomonadati; Pseudomonadota; Alphaproteobacteria; Sphingomonadales.
GCUGCCGUAGCUCAGUGGUAGAGCACUCCCUUGGUAAGGGAGAGGUCGGGAGUUCAAUCCUCCCCGGCAGCACCA